GGAAGGAUCAUUAACACGUAUCCACGUAUACACCAAUCGCGAACUGGUUUUCAACCUUCUCCCUGCUUAUUGAAUGAAUCGGAUGACUGCGUAUCAUAUUAUGAUAGGAUAUUAUAAUUUACUUAAUAUCUGUGUGACUCGCUUUCACUCGUCUUCGGACGGCCGUUUGUAUCAAUAUUGUCAGGCACCCAGCUGCUCAUUAGGUCGACCUAUCAUACUGACUUAUUAGUGGCGUCACUUUAAUUAACAAUUUUCACCCACUUUUUGCUAGUUGACUUUUAUAUGUUGGAAGAUCGUAUGAUUCGUCAUACACUCUCCAGACGUUACUUAAUUGAACGUUAAAAUUACAACUCUUAGCAAUGGAUAUCUUGGUUCUCGCAACGAUGAAGAACGCAGCGAAAUGCGAUACGUAAUGCGAAUUGCAGAAUUCAGUGAAUCAUCAAAUCUUUGAACGCAAAUUGCGCUCUUGGGUAGCCCUAGGAGCACGCCUCUCUCAGUAUCGGUUCAAUCAACUCUCAGCGGCGUACGACAUUCGUGUUGUAUGUGUCGGCUGGAAAAUGAGAGUCUCGAUUUCACGAUCGAGUCUCUUUAAAUUCAUUGAAUCAACUAUUUCUCUUUGACUGAUGAAUUUAUUCAUCAGCUUCUCUCUGAUUGGUCUGUUUCAAAGUGACGUGAAUACUGACCUUUAUGGUCUCAUUCAUUUACGUGUAACUCUGAACGACAUUUAAAACAAUCUAGGAUGGAGUGUCAAAACGACGGAUUUAAUUGAUGUCUAAGCGGUGCAUACCGCAAUCGUAUGGUAGGAUUUUAAUUAAUCACAUUAUACUGAAUUUUGAUCUGAGAUGAAGCGAGACAACCCCCUGAAUUUAAGCAUAUUAAUAAGGGGAGGAAAAGAAACUAACAAGGAUUCCCCCAGUAACGGCGAGUGAAGCGGGAAGAGCUCAAUUUGAAAAUCGACUACCUAAGCGGGUCGUCGAGUUGUAGCCUAUAGACGUACUAUCAGCUGAAACCUGGGUAUAAGUUCUUUGGAAUGAGGCAUCAUAGAGGGUGAGAAUCCCGUAUAUGACCCAAAGCUUUCAGCGUACGAUGUAUGUUCAUCGAGUCGAGUUGUUUGGGAUUGCAGCUCUAAAUGGGUGGUAAGUUUCAUCUAAAGCUAAAUAAUGGCGAGAGACCGAUAGCGAACAAGUACCGUGAGGGAAAGAUGAAAAGAACUUUGAAAAGAGAGUUAAAAGUACUUGAAAUUGCUAAGAGGGAAGCGCUGACAAUUAGUCAUUCUUGCCGUUCAUCGCCCUCAGCCCCACUGGUCGUGUGGUGCAGUUGGAAACUCUGCAUUACGCGACGAAAGGGAGGUUGGGGGUUUAGGACGGUAGGUGAGUCAAGAUCCAUUCGACUCGUGGGAGAAGGUAGUGAGAAAGGUGAGAUACUCCGGUAUCUGUUAUAGUCUUAUUACUCUACUCGGGUUGGAUGGAGGAAGGAAUAGUGCGCUGCUUGCGGCUUAGUCCUUGGUACCUGCCGGCGAAGUUGCCUUGAUAGCAAUGCUAUCCUGGUGAUGCCUCGUCUGUACUGUAUUAGGUGACUCUAUGUGCUAUCACGAUCUUGUACGAAAUGAUUGUCAUCGACCCGUCUUGAAACACGGACCAAGGAGUCUAACAUCUAUGCGAGUAUUUGAGUGAAAAACUCUGAUGCGCAAUGAAAGUAAAGGCAGCUUCGGUUGCUGAGGUAGGAAUCCGGUCAAACGGAGGCACUAUCGACCGAUCAUCACUUGUGAAAGAUUUGAGUAAGAGCAUAUCUGUUGGGACCCGAAAGAUGGUGAUCUAUGCCUGAACAGGGUGAAGCCCAGCGAAAGUUGGGUGGAGGCUCGUAGCGAUACUGACGUGCAAAUCGUUCGUCUGAUUUGGGUAUAGGGCGAAAGACUAAUCGAACCAUCUAGUAGCUGGUUCCCUC
RNAcentral lists this unclassified non-coding RNA (1944 nucleotides) under uncultured fungus. RNAcentral describes it as "sequence contains 18S rRNA gene, ITS1, 5.8S rRNA gene, ITS2, 28S rRNA gene". The stretch from base 834 to 1944 matches the Rfam family "Eukaryotic large subunit ribosomal RNA", at positions 1 to 961 of the family's 3401-position model. The record is from RNAcentral. Lineage: Eukaryota; Fungi.